GGACAACUGCCUACGUUGUGCCUUGCGCACAGGCAUCGAGACAGCCGCCAUCUUAGGGGUCCUCGAUAGGUGGGACCCGAUUGUUCAAGAUGCAUUUUAAAAGCUCUGUCCCGAGACGCUCUCGAGUUACGUUGAGACUGAUGAUUCCACAAUCUUCCACAAUGGACUUCACAUAGGAUGAACUGUUUCCAGUUUCAGCAAAAAAGCAAGAAUUUAUGAAUGGAUGACUGCACCUUAGCACUCUUCACUGCCACUGCAUGCCUCACCUGGGCCACAGAGAAAACAAUGUUGCUGCCUGUACAUGGCACAAUUAACCUCUAACCUUACAGCUGAAUCAAUGCAGUAACACUGUUAACUACCAAUGAUAUUGUACCAAAUGUUCAGACUGAAUAUACAGAGGAGAACUGGUCCCCAGUGUUUUUGGUUAGUCUGGUUUCUCCAAAGGUUUUUUUACUCCAGUAUCGACAUCUUACAGAUUUUUCUUUAUUAACCACCGUUGCCUUAAGCUUGCUUGCUGUCUGUAUGACGACUAAUGCAUUUAGCACCAACUAUUAAAACAGUGAGGGUGUUUUUGACCAUAUAGACACAACAGUAUGUCUUUCUGUAAAGAUUCUUUGAAAAUGUUAUGCAUUUUGAAAAAUGUAUAAAUGUCUUACAUUGA
Carassius carassius (crucian carp) is the source of this 661-nucleotide long non-coding RNA. RefSeq lists it as uncharacterized. The record is from RefSeq and is a predicted model, not a curated record. NCBI's taxonomy places the organism in Eukaryota, Metazoa, Chordata, Actinopteri, Cypriniformes, Cyprinidae. The transcript has 2 exons.